GACUUGAUUAGAUUGAGCCUUGGUAUGGAAACCUGCUAAGUGGUAACUUCCAAAUUCAGAGAAACCCUGGAAUGAAAAAUGGGCAAUCCUGAGCCAAAUCUUUAUGUUAAGAAAACAAAGGAUAGGUGCAGAGACUCAAUGGAAGCUGUUCUAACAAAUGGAAUUGACGUUGACUACGUUGCGUUGGUAGCUGGAAUCCCUCUAUCGAAAUUACAGAAAGAAAGGAUGACCCUAUAUGCGUAUAUAUACAUACUGACAUAUCAAACGAUUAAUCACAACUCAAAUCUGGAAUCCAUAUUAAUAACUAUAUAUAUAGAUAUUAUAGUUAUUAUUAUCUAUAUUUUCUUUAUAUAUUUAAUAAAGAUAUAUUUUUUUAUAAAUUUAUAGAUUAAUUAAGAGUUAUUAUAAAUAUAUUCCAGUCGAAGUUGAAGGAAGAAUCGAAUAUUCAGUGAUCAAAUCAUUCAUUCCGGGGUCGGAUAGAUCUUUUGAAAAAAUGAUUAAUCGGACGAGAAUAAAGAGAGAGUCCUGUUCUACGUGUCAAUACCGACAGCAAUGAAAUUUAUAGUAUUAGGAAAAUCCGUCGACUUUAGAAAUCGUGA
RNAcentral lists this non-coding RNA (599 nucleotides) under Gloriosa baudii. RNAcentral's name for it is "partial transfer RNA-Leu". The stretch from base 1 to 255 matches the Rfam family "Group I catalytic intron". The record is from RNAcentral. Lineage: Eukaryota; Viridiplantae; Streptophyta; Magnoliopsida; Liliales; Colchicaceae.